GACGAACGCUGGCGGCGUGCUUAACACAUGCAAGUCGAACGAUGAAGCCCAGCUUGCUGGGUGGAAGAGUGGCGAACGGGUGAGUAACACGUGAGUAACCUGCCCUGAACUCUGGGAUAAGCACUGGAAACGGUGUCUAAUACUGGAUACGACCUAUCACCGCAUGGUGUGUGGGUGGAAAGAUUUAUCGGUUCUGGAUGGACUCGCGGCCUAUCAGCUAGAUGGUGAGGUAAUGGCUCACCAUGGCGACGACGGGUAGCCGGCCUGAGAGGGUGACCGGCCACACUGGGACUGAGACACGGCCCAGACUCCUACGGGAGGCAGCAGUGGGGAAUAUUGCACAAUGGGCGCAAGCCUGAUGCAGCAACGCCGCGUGAGGGAUGACGGCCUUCGGGUUGUAAACCUCUUUUAGUAGGGAAGAAGCGAGAGUGACGGUACCUGCAGAAAAAGCACCGGCUAACUACGUG
RNAcentral lists this ribosomal RNA (467 nucleotides) under uncultured bacterium. RNAcentral describes it as "partial 16S ribosomal RNA". It matches the Rfam family "Bacterial small subunit ribosomal RNA", at positions 28 to 507 of the family's 1533-position model. The record is from RNAcentral.